UGGGGGAUAUUGCACAAUGGGCGAAAGCCUGAUGCAGCGACGCCGCGUGGGGGAUGAAGGCCUUCGGGUUGUAAACUUCUUUUGCUCUGAACAAGGCGCACCAUGGGGUGUGUUGAGUGUAGGGGUUGAUUGGCGCCGGCUAACUACGUGCCAGCAGCCGCGGUAAUACGUAGGGCGCGAGCGUUGUCCGGAAUUAUUGGGCGUAAAGGGCUUGUAGGUGGCUGGUUGCGUCUGUCGUGAAAGCUCAUGGCUUAACUGUGGGUUUGCGGUGGGUACGGGCUGGCUUGAGUGCAGUAGGGGAGGCUGGAAUUCCUGGUGUAGCGGUGGAAUGCGCAGAUAUCAGGAGGAAUACCGGUGGCGAAGGCGGGUCUCUGGGCUGUUACUGACACUGAGGAGCGAAAGCAUGGGGAGCGAACAGG
Molecule: ribosomal RNA, 419 nt
Filed under: bacterium
Lineage: Bacteria
Description: partial 16S ribosomal RNA
Rfam family: Bacterial small subunit ribosomal RNA
Source: RNAcentral